GAUGAACGCUGGCGGCGUGCUUAACACAUGCAAGUCGAACGGAAAGGCCAGUGCUUGCACUGGUACUCGAGUGGCGAACGGGUGAGUAACACGUGGGUGAUCUGCCCUGUACUUCGGGAUAAGCUUGGGAAACUGGGUCUAAUACCGGAUAGGACAACUUUUUGGAUAUUGUUGUGGAAAGCUUUUGCGGUAUGGGAUGAGCUCGCGGCCUAUCAGCUUGUUGGUGGGGUAAUGGCCUACCAAGGCGUCGACGGGUAGCCGGCCUGAGAGGGUGUACGGCCACAUUGGGACUGAGAUACGGCCCAGACUCCUACGGGAGGCAGCAAUGGGGAAUAUUGCACAAUGGGCGCAAGCCUGAUGCAGCGACGCCGCGUGGGGGAUGAAGGCCUUCGGGUUGUAAACUCCUUUCGCUAGGGACGAAGCUUUUUUGUGACGGAACCUGGAGAAGAAGCACCGGCUAACUACGUG
RNAcentral lists this ribosomal RNA (468 nucleotides) under uncultured bacterium. Its description in RNAcentral is "partial 16S ribosomal RNA". It matches the Rfam family "Bacterial small subunit ribosomal RNA", at positions 28 to 507 of the family's 1533-position model. The record is from RNAcentral.